This is a long non-coding RNA of Gavialis gangeticus (Gharial), 117 nucleotides long. RefSeq lists it as uncharacterized. The transcript has 3 exons. The record is from RefSeq and is a predicted model, not a curated record. Lineage: Eukaryota; Metazoa; Chordata; Crocodylia; Gavialidae.
GCAGCGUGAGUGUCAACAGGAAGAGCUCCUGGUCAAAGCCGAGGGCCCCCACCCUCUGCAGGAACUGGCACACCAGUUGUUGCCAGGGUAGCCUCUCCUUGCUGUAGAGAUGUCGCU